AGGAUGAGUUCCUUCCUUCCUAAGGUCACUCAGACUGAGAGGUGGGUUAUCACCCAGAAUGUUGGUACAGUUUUCUUUCCAGGAAGCAAAGAGCUCAUGGUCACAGCUGGGAUGCACUUAUCUGUCUCCCCAAACCCAGAUCCAAAUUCCUCUUAGAUCUCACUCUGUUCAUACAAUGUCUGUGACAAUGACAAGAGCACCAAGAUGUCUGAGUCAGAGUCCUGUGCUGCCUCAGAGCCUCCUGAGGGGAGGAGGUUACUUCUCAGGUAGAAGUUGCCAUACAGGUCUAGGAAAUGAGCCAUCACCAGUCCCUGAAUCUGCCUGCACCUAAAUCCUGGACUUCGAGCUUCCAGAAUGCUCACAAGGAGCCAGCUACUUUUGCUUCUUUUUAGUCCUGGCUGAUGACUGUACAGCUGUCGAUGCUACUGUGCUGCCUCUGAUGCUUCUUCCUUCAUGCUGUCAGCUCAAAAGACCACUCGUCUUG
This 484-nucleotide long non-coding RNA is filed under the name Cricetulus griseus (Chinese hamster). RNAcentral's name for it is "lncRNA (ENSCGRG00015035450.1)". The record is from RNAcentral. Lineage: Eukaryota; Metazoa; Chordata; Mammalia; Rodentia; Cricetidae.